GGGGGCUGAUGCCGGGCGAGGAGAGGUGAUGGAUAUUCCCAUGUAGCGCCCGCGGGGGCGGUGCUCUCCCGGACGGUCCGGCGGGUCCGAUGGCGGGGGGCAGCGGCAGCGCGGGGGGCGCCAGGACGGGCGGCCGGGCUGUCCCCCGGCUGGACGGGCUGUUCCUGCGGCGGUUCCUGCGGCUGCUGGCCGUGCUCUUCCCCGGGUGGCCCUCCGCGAGCGCCCUCAUGUUCCUGACUCUGCUCGGUGUCGCCUUGCUGGAGCAGCUGGUUAUUUACCAGGUCGGCAUCAUCCCCAGCCAGUACUAUGAGGUCCUAGGGAACAAAGAUUUCUCCGGGUUCAAAACACUGACUGCCGUUGCCGUGACUCUGAUCAUAGUGAACUCCACGCUAAAAAGCUUCGACCAGUUUAUCUGCAACAUGAUGUACGUGAACUGGAGGAAAUCCCUCACUGAAUACCUCCACAGCUGCUACUUCCAAGGCCAGGUCUACUACAGUCUGCAUGUGCUGCGUGAGGACAUCGAUAAUCCGGACCAGCGCAUCAGCCAGGAUGUGGAGAGGUUCUGCAGGCAGCUCAGCUCCAUGGCCAGCAAGCUCGUCAUCUCACCUUUCACGCUGGCCUACUACACACACCAGUGCUUUCACAGCACAGGCUGGCUAGGCCCAGUGAACAUCUUUGGAUAUUUUGUCAUUGGGACAAUUGCAAACAAACUAUUGAUGAGCCCAAUUGUGUCUAAACUUGUGCAGCAGGAAAAACUGGAGGGCGAUUUCAGGUUCAAGCACAUGCAGAUUCGUGUCAAUGCAGAACCAGCUGCUUUCUACAGGGCUGGGCGAGUGGAGCACAUGCGCACGGACCGGAGGCUGCAGAGCCUGCUGCAGACCCAGAGAGAGCUGAUAGGCAAGGAGCUGUGGCUAUACAUUGGGAUCAACACCUUUGACUAUCUGGGUAGCAUCCUGAGCUACGUGGUCAUUGCCAUUCCCAUUUUUUCUGGGGUCUACAGUGACCUGAGUCCAACAGAGCUCAGUGCCCUCGUCAGCAAGAAUGCUUUUGUUUCCAUCUACCUCAUUGGCUGCUUCAGCCAGCUCAUAGAUCUCUCCAGCACUGUGACCGAUGUAGCUGGCUACACACACAGGAUUGGUGAACUGCAGGAGACCUUGCUGAGCCUUGGCAGAAAAAAAAAUGGUAACUACUCGGAAGCCAAAACGAGCUGGGAUUUGGACGGCAGCCAUUUUGGGGAGGACCCAGUGCCAAGGGACACAGCUUUCCUUCUGGACCAAGUGACACUUUCGGUGCCAUCCUCUGGCAAGCUGCUCAUCAAGGACUUGAGCCUCAGGAUCUCACAAGGAAACAGUGUGAUGAUUGUGGGAAACACUGGUACAGGGAAGACAUCUCUCCUGAGGGUCCUUGGAGGACUCUGGGAGAGCACACGGGGGAGCAUCAAGAUGCUGACCUGCUUUGGCCCCCGGGGAGUGGUAUUCCUACCACAGCGGCCCUUCUUCACCGACGGAAGCCUGCGUGAGCAGGUGAUCUAUCCCCUGAAGGAGAUCUAUCCAGUUUCAGCUUUCUCCCCAGGGUCUGCAGAUGAUGAAAGAAUUGUGCGAUUCCUGGAGCUGGCUGGGCUGACUGAUUUGCUGGCAAGGGCUGGAGGACUGGAUGAGCAGGUGGACUGGAACUGGUAUGACAUCCUGUCUCCAGGGGAGAUGCAGAGACUCUCAUUUGCACGGCUCUUCUACCUCCAACCAAAAUAUGCGGGUGCUCCUGGGCCCUUACAGCCUUGCUCAUACAAGACUGUCAGUAACAACCAUUAUCACUUGGCCAACAAAGCUGCAGGUCACUCCUAAAGCCUGGGAGAGCAGAAGCUGGAACAAGGAGUCAGUCAUAUGCAUCUCACCGGUUUGCCACCAUGUGUCCACUACUGGGCAUCGUGUCUCGCCAACCACAUGGAAGUACCAUUCCCAUGCCUCCUUGUUGAUGGGUUCCCCCACUGCAAGGGGAAAGACAAGGGAGCAGAGCAGAAAAAUCAGGUUCAGGACACAGCUUCCCAUGACCUGCUUGUGGAGCCAUCCCCAAAUAGUGUAGUGUCCUGACUUUGGGGUCUCAUGUUGCUGCUGUUCUUGGCAUUUGUGGGAAGAGGCAGAAUCUGAUGCGCAAGGAUUUGCUGCUCCAGCCCACACUGCUGCACUUACCUGAGCCAAGCACUUUGAGAGAAGAGCGGUCAUACUUCUUCACCCAUUCAUCACCGUAUCGCAGGAGCAGGCGGAUGGCAGUGGGCGCCCCAUAGAACUGGUUAAUUCUUAACCUCUCUACUGUUUCCCAGUAGCGGCCUGGAAUGGAAACAGGGCCAGUGAGCACCCACACAGGUCCUCCCAGCCCAACACCAAGAUAAAGAUAGAAGAGGUGAGAACAAAGGCUCUCUAGCAGUGCCAGGACCCUCAGCCAAGUUAAUCCCAUGAUGGGAAGGACUGAAGCUGUUCAGGAGCAGCAGCAGGCCCUUUUCCUCCAAAUCACAUAGCUCUGCUACUCUCCCUGCUGCAGGGAGGGGCAGGGAAUAACAGCUCCACCCCUGGAGAAGCAGCAGUGGCUUCCUAAGCAGAAGAAAAGACUCUUCCCCUGGUAGCUCUCUACUGGGCAUAGCCUGCGGUCUGCUCCUGAGGCAGCAGAGCCAUUGCUGCAUGUGUCCUGGCAUCAGGCUGCCUGCAGGUGUUGCAGGGUGCUGUGGAAUAUCCCAGCUCCCCCGAGACACCUCACUCACCAGGGUUAGGAUGGACAGGAGUGCUCUCAAAAAGGACUGUGGUGCCACCAUUGCAGAGAGGGCCGUAGACCACAUAGGUAUGCCCCGUGAUCCAGCCAAUGUCUGCCACACAGCCAAAGAUGUCCCUGUCCUGGUAGUCGAACACGUACUAAACAAGAGAAGAGAGGCAGUGAGGGGUAGUGCCAGGGCCUGCCUUCCUCGCAAGGGGGACAACAGGGAGCAGUGUACUCUCUCUCAGCCCUAACAUUACUGCAUCCUUCUAUCUUCCUACCACCCCUGCAGGGACUUUUCUUCCUGCAGAGUUUUUGAAAACAUCAGAAAAAAAAAUAAAAUUAAGGUACUUUAUGAAGUUGAAGGAGAUAGACACUUAAUAAAAAAAAAGAACAGCCAAAUUUACACUUUUCCAAAGGAGAAAAGUGCAAAAAAACCCCCAGCCUUUCCUUCCUUUUGCUGAUGUCUAGACGAGGCUGAUCCAAGUAUCCUGUAGCAUCAAAACAGAACCUUCUGGCUAAGGAAUGUCCCUCUGUACUUACAUGCCUGCAUGUAAGGAGAGGAGUUGUAGGCAAGAGCAAAGUGGUAGAGAACUCUAUGAAUCUCUCCUGGGCACUUUUGGGCUCCUGGACAAUAAACACUCAGGAAACCCUGAGCUCAUCAAGGACCCCAGCAUAGGAGCAUUGAGGCAGCAAGCAGAGGGACCAUGUGAUACUUUGGCUCAGAGCAACCCCAACUUGCCCACAAAAAUUGGAACCUCUCCACCUCAGCUGGAUGAGUGCUGUUCUGUGCCUGCCGGCAGGCGGAAAGCAGAACACGCUCUUCUUCCCACUGCCCCAUUUAUUCCUUGGGAGAGCCUUGGCUGCAAGGCCAGAAUAUGAAGGAAGGAUGCCUACCCUGUGCAGGGCAGAACUGAGUGCUGUCAGAUUGGCAUCGACACAUCCAGUUUCCUUAAGCACUCUCCUUCAUUUAAUUUUCUUAGUGCCAGGCAAACUUCCUAGGGGCUGAUCUCCCAGUAGCCCACCACUUCUUGCUUUCUGCUCUGACUUGUGCGGUUUCAGACUUUCCUGUCUCUUCCUGCAGCUCCAUGCUGCAGGCUGCCAGCUGGGGACUCCAGGGCCCCAAGUGUUCCAUAAUGCUCAUAAUGGAAAAUUCCCCUGCUUCAUCUGUCUUUUUUUAACAGAGCAGUGAGUAUGGUAGCAGCAGUCUGCCCCAUCAAACUGAGGGAUCUGUUUCCAGAUUUCCAGUGCUCCUGAGAGCUAACAUGGCCACGUGCUGCUCACCCCUUGCAUUGCAUUCUGGUAUGGCAGCCCUGGCUCUCACAAACCUACUCUGAUGGUCUCAAGUGGGUCACUUAUUGUGCCGGGCAAAGCUUAGCUCACAGGAAAAUCAAGGGCUUCCACACACCCCGGGAAGUAUGGUCUCCAGCAUUCACAGCUAACAGAGAAGACCCAGCCAGCCCUGAGCUUGCUUAGUCACAGGGUGCAUGGUCUGAGGCACUGCUGGAAAGGCAGUCAUGCACAGGGAGAGCCAGACCCAAAAUUAAGGGACUGUUCAGUUAGGAACUCCCUCGUACACAGAACCCCAUAUAAUUUCAUAGGAAUACCCCUUGCAACCAUUGCUGUGGCCACAUGCAUCUCUGUGCUCAUUGUCCUUUUAUCCAGCUUGGUUAGAGUUUGGUUUUGGCAUGUGUCAUGGUUAAAGGCUUUCCUCCUACCAAAGAUGACCCACACUCUUCAGGUAUAGGCCCUUUUUCAUGAGGGCACUCACCAGCUUUUACAGAUGUUGUUAAAUGUGCCCCUCCCAGAAGCACUGCCUUAAAUCUCCCCAUGAGUUGGGGUACUUACACUUAGGAAAAGCAAACCACAGUUUUUAAGGAGCAAAUGGAUUCUUCCCCCUCACACAGUUGUGAUAGUUUCAGUCUAGGCCUUCCUGGAGACCUGCUUGUAACCAGGAAGGAACUAGAGAAGUGACCAAGGAAGUAUUCCAUGCUAUUCCUUUACAUAAACUGAGGUAUAAAUAAAGCUGGUCAGAGAGACCUCGCUCUCUCUUCUUCCAGUGAGGUUUGGGAACGGUAGAUCCUUGUCUCAGUCUUGCUUAUCUGGAGCUGAGGCCUGCAGUGACUGUUGUGUACCAUGUGUGAGGGGAGAGUGCUGGGCUGCGUCCGGCUGUCGUGCUUUUCUCAAGGGAAGUGAUACAUCCUGCCUUCGGUGGGCAGGGAUGACCUAGUGCAACCCUGUCUGCUGAAUGCACAGGGUUUGGUGCUGUUGCCUGUUGCCGGAAUGGAGCCACUGCCCUCAUGUGGGAUCCACAGAGGCUGAGGAAGAGCAGCCUGGCUCCCAGCACACCCCAAUCCACCUGCAGCCUCUCCAGAAAGACCCAGCUGCUAUCACAGGAUAAGCCACAACCUUACACUACAGCCACUGCAGGACCAACCAGACCUUUCGGAAUCCCCCUCUCUCCAACCCUGUAACAGUGUGCUCUUCCAAUAUGCUCCCAGGACUGAAGCCCCACACAUAGAAUUACCUGCAGGCAAUCGGUGGGAUCCCAUGUCUGCCUCCCUCCUUACCUGCCACGUUCAGCUGCCCACCCAGGAACCAGGAGACCCUGCCCUGGUGCAGAUCGCAGUCCUGGACAGAGUGGAAGGGAGUGAUCCAGUGUGACACCACUCAUGAUCUGUGGAGCUGAUAUGUUUGGUGAACAGGCUGGACACCAGCACAGGGAACAGGAUCUAUCUGCCAUCAGGUACACUCAUCGCACGCUACACACCUGGAUUGUAUCAGAGCUGCCCCAAGGUCGGUGGGUUACCUACAAGGGUUCUGUCACUCUGGGGAAACGCAGUCCUGUGAGCUUACAGUCCCUCCACAAAGUCAAGCCCAACCAGCCUCAUCAUUCCAGAAGUCUCUUAUUUACUAUGCACGCCUGCUCUGCUUCUGCAUUUUUCCCCUUCCUUUAAGACAUUAGGUUUUUCCAUCAGACCAUGCCCAGAUGCCCUUAACAAGGCAGGCAAGUCUCAACUUCUUAUCUGGUAACUCAGAAUAGGUGCCCACUGCUCUCAAAUCAGAGCUCACCUUGCUGGAAAUCCUGUCGGUGCCCAUCCCUUUCAACCAGCUCCCCUGCAUUUGCAGCAUCUGGCUGCUGCCUCAGCUCCUCAGGCCAGCUGAGCCCUGCAGCCUGCUCCUGGCAGAGGGGUUGAGUCUGCCCAAAGGUCUGCCUGACUCUCUAACACCAUGGCACAUGUGAUAUGGGGUGACUCAAAGCACGAGGGCUGUCCUGGAUGCUGAAGUGACUUGUUCUCUGACCAGCUGUAUGCUAUAACUUCUGCUCUGAGUACAAGCACAUCCCUUUCAACUUUGUCUUUCCCUGCGAAGGGAGAGCAGCACCCAAGCCCUGUAUUCUCCAUGCCUGGGUGGGGAGGAAGGUGCAGAUCUCUUUCUAUGCUGCUUUGGAUCUCCCACCCCUCUCUGGCUACAGCCUGACAUCUAAUUCCCUCUCAGCUUUGGCUGAACUCACCCUCCUUGAACACUGGUGACCAGACUCAUACACAGUAUUCCCGUUUAAU
Molecule: RNA transcript, 6305 nt
Organism: Chiroxiphia lanceolata (lance-tailed manakin)
Lineage: Eukaryota; Metazoa; Chordata; Aves; Passeriformes; Pipridae
Gene: ABCD4
Gene name: ATP binding cassette subfamily D member 4
Exons: 20
Source: RefSeq, a predicted model, not a curated record